This 376-nucleotide ribosomal RNA is filed under the name uncultured Bacillota bacterium. Its description in RNAcentral is "bacterial SSU rRNA". It matches the Rfam family "Bacterial small subunit ribosomal RNA", at positions 154 to 523 of the family's 1533-position model. The record is from RNAcentral. Lineage: Bacteria; Bacillati; Bacillota.
AAAGGUGGGCUAAUACCGAAUGUGUUCCAAGAAGGUGCGCCUUUUGGAGGAAAGUGGGGUAACCCACGCCCGAGGAUCGGUCCGCGUUCCAUCAGCUAGUUGGUAGGGUAAUGGCCUACCAAGGCUACGACGGAUAGCUGGUCUGAGAGGAUGAUCAGCCACACUGGGACUGAGACACGGCCCAGACUCCUACGGGAGGCAGCAGUGGGGAAUAUUGGUCAAUGGGCGAAAGCCUGAACCAGCAAUGCCGCGUGAGUGAUGAAGGCCUUCGGGUUGUAAAGCUCUGUCAGUGGGAACGAAUAAGCCGGUUAAUACCCGGUGGUGACGGUACCCACAAAGGAAGCACCGGCUAACUCUGUGCCAGCAGCCGCGGUAA